GGUCCUGUACCCAAGCGGUUUAAGGGGGUGGAUUGCAAAUCCAUUAUUCGUCAGUUCGAAUCUGACCGGGACCU
RNAcentral lists this transfer RNA (74 nucleotides) under bacterium. RNAcentral's name for it is "tRNA-Cys". It matches the Rfam family "tRNA". From Rfam's summary of the family: Transfer RNA (tRNA) molecules are approximately 80 nucleotides in length. Their secondary structure includes four short double-helical elements and three loops (D, anti-codon, and T loops). The record is from RNAcentral.